This 447-nucleotide ribosomal RNA is filed under the name uncultured Planctomycetota bacterium. RNAcentral describes it as "bacterial SSU rRNA". It matches the Rfam family "Bacterial small subunit ribosomal RNA", at positions 217 to 656 of the family's 1533-position model. Lineage: Bacteria; Pseudomonadati; Planctomycetota. The record is from RNAcentral.
GCUUAGAGAGGGGUCAAUGUCCUAUCAGCUAGUUGGUAGGGUAAUGGCCUACCAAGGCUAAGACGGGUAGCCGGCCUGAGAGGGUGGUCGGCCACACUGGGACUGAGACACUGCCCAGACUCCUACGGGAGGCUGCAGUCGAGAAUCUUUCGCAAUGCCCGAAAGGGUGACGAAGCGACGCCGCGUGUGGGAAGAAGGCCUUCGGGUUGUAAACCACUGUCGGGAGUUAAGAAAUGCAAGGGUGUUAAUAGCAUCCUUGCUCGACUAAGGCUCCGGAGGAAGCCACGGCUAACUCUGUGCCAGCAGCCGCGGUAAUACAGAGGCGGCAAGCGUUGUUCGGAAUUAUUGGCGUAAAGAGCACGUAGGCGGCUUUGUAAGUCAGUUGUGAAAGCCUUCUGCUCAACGGAAGAACAGCAUCUGAUACUGCAAGGCUAGAGUGCGGAAGGG